GACGAACGCUGGCGGCGUGCCUAAUACAUGCAAGUCGAGCGAGUCUGCCUUGAAGAUCGGAGUGCUUGCACUCUGUGAAACAAGAUACAGGCUAGCGGCGGACGGGUGAGUAACACGUGGGUAACCUGCCCAAGAGAUCGGGAUAACACCUGGAAACAGAUGCUAAUACCGGAUAACAACAGAUGAUGCCUAUCAACUGUUUAAAAGAUGGUUCUGCUAUCACUCUUGGAUGGACCUGCGGUGCAUUAGCUAGUUGGUAGGGUAACGGCCUACCAAGGCGAUGAUGCAUAGCCGAGUUGAGAGACUGAUCGGCCACAUUGGGACUGAGACACGGCCCAAACUCCUACGGGAGGCAGCAGUAGGGAAUCUUCCACAAUGGACGCAAGUCUGAUGGAGCAACGCCGCGUGAGUGAAGAAGGGUUUCGGCUCGUAAAGCUCUGUUGUUGGUGAAGAAGGACAGGGGUAGUAACUGACCUUUGUUUGACGGUAAUCAAUGAGAAAGUCACGGCUAACUAAGUG
This 519-nucleotide ribosomal RNA is filed under the name uncultured bacterium. RNAcentral describes it as "partial 16S ribosomal RNA". It matches the Rfam family "Bacterial small subunit ribosomal RNA", at positions 28 to 507 of the family's 1533-position model. The record is from RNAcentral.